CCCUCACCGUUGUGCGACAUGCCGAGCGCCAGGCACUUCUGGAAGCGGCAGUACUGACACUUGUUGCGGUUCUUCUUCUGGAUCUUGCAGAUCCGAUCGCACUUCUCAUACUCGAGCUUCAUGCGGAUUGUCCGGCGGAAGAAGCCCUGCGGGACCAAGGACGUUAGGAGCCUGCGAUGCCCCAGGGCCCAGAGGCAAGUACCCCUGGAGUGGCCUAUCCAGCUGAAACCAGCGGCAAGCCACGCCCACUCCUGACUUUGAGGCUCUGAGGGCCAAUCCAGGAUCAUCAGGAUGCCCUGGCCCAAGGCACCCAGAGGAGGCGAGUGAGGCUGGGGAGGGAGAGCGAGGGGCCUGAGGGGUCCUGUGUACAGGCUGGACACAGUGUCGUGAGGAUGAGAUGACAGGGCCAUGCUGGCCACCAGAGAAGAAUGUCACCAUUGCCACCAACAGAGGGUCAAUGAAGUGACCCAGCAAGUGGAAAGAGCCAGCUGAACCCUGAUGCUCCAAAUCGGCCCAAGUCACAGGCACUCAAAGCACCAGGCAUUCCCACUCAGUACCCGGUCUCAUGACAACUGCAGGUACAUCCCACAGUUCCUGGUGCAGCCAGGAGUACGGGUGCAUCCCAGUGCUGGUGCCUGGAUACACAAGGCUCUGGGUCCACGCCCACUACCAAAGCCCGUUAGCAGAUGCUGCCUGGGCAGGUGUACAUGUGGGUUCAGAGGCAUCUGAUGGGUAGGGGUGGGAUAAAGGACAAACACCCUCCUGCCUCCCGUAAAAGCCCACGUCCAGCUCAUCUACAUUACUGUACGUGAUUUCCCAGGGCCCCGCGGCUCACCACAGGACCCCUGGCUCUGGUAUCAGUCAGUCACUCUACUCCUUGGCCCCCCAUGUUGUUCACAGAACCCGCUCCUCGGGCCCCCCCCACCCCCCGUACCUGCACAGCUGCUGGAAGGAAUCGUGGGCUCUGGUCCCCCAUCGAGCUCCGGGGCUCCGUCACCCGUGGCCACUUCCUCUUUCUCCUCUUCCCGGGCCUCAGGGAUCUCCUCCUGUGGCUGUUCCAUGACUGACCCCCACUUGGCGUGGCGCCUGCAGGCCUGGUCAUAGCUCUGCCACCAUCUGGGUCUGAGCGCAGAUGGACUGCCUGGGCAGGGAGAGACAGAGACGGUCAGGUUGCUUUUGGUCACCGUGUUUCAUCUCAGCAAUAGUAACCGGAUGCUACCCCAAUGUUCAUCAAAUAAAAAACCGUCCAUAAA
This is a long non-coding RNA of Mastomys coucha (southern multimammate mouse), 1253 nucleotides long. RefSeq lists it as uncharacterized. The record is from RefSeq and is a predicted model, not a curated record. The transcript is spliced from 3 exons. Lineage: Eukaryota; Metazoa; Chordata; Mammalia; Rodentia; Muridae.